Molecule: ribosomal RNA, 410 nt
Filed under: uncultured bacterium
Lineage: Bacteria
Description: bacterial SSU rRNA
Rfam family: Bacterial small subunit ribosomal RNA
Source: RNAcentral
UAGGGAAUUUUCGGCAAUGGGGGGAACCCUGACCGAGCAACGCCGCGUGAACGAAGAAGUUAUUCGUAAUGUAAAGUUCUUUUAUUAGUGAAGAAAGAGGAAUUUGACGGUAGCUAAUGAAUAAGCUCCGGCUAACUACGUGCCAGCAGCCGCGGUAAUACGUAGGGAGCGAGCGUUAUCCGGAAUUAUUGGGCGUAAAGGGUGCGUAGAUGGGACGAUAAGUCUUUUGUAAAAAUGCUAGGCUCAACCUAGUAGGGCAAAAGAUACUAUAGACCUAGAGUAUGGCAGAGGCAAGUGGAACUACAUGUGUAGCGGUAAAAUGCGUAAAUAUAUGUAAGAACACCAGUGGCGAAGGCGGCUUGCUGGGCCGAUACUGACAUUGAGGCACGAAAGCGUGGGGAGCAAACAGG